RNAcentral lists this long non-coding RNA (516 nucleotides) under Phoenix dactylifera (date palm). Its description in RNAcentral is "long non-coding RNA (PDAC_LNC021403)". The record is from RNAcentral. Lineage: Eukaryota; Viridiplantae; Streptophyta; Magnoliopsida; Arecales; Arecaceae.
GGGGAACAAGAUUUUUCCCCAAAUGACGCAAAUGUCCCUAAGGAGCCGCACGACCUCCGACCCUGGACGGCCGAAGUCGGCGUCCGACCUCGGGACACCCGACCUCAAGACGACCGACCUCGAGACCUCCGAUCUGAGAAAAACCCCGAUGUUCGAGGUCUACUCUUGUCAGCCACCUACUACGGCCGUGCACCUCUGAGGUCCGGCCGAAGACCAUACCCUGACGCCCCUCUGCCAUUUAUUGCGCAUGGUCGCUGUAACCCUCCGGCUCACUCCACAAUAAAUGCGGAUCUCCGGCUUACUCUACAAUUAAUGCGGAUCUCCGGCUUACUCCACAAUAAAUGCGGAUCUCCGGCUUACUCCACAAUUAAUGCGCAUGGCUCCUGUCAUCUACGGACUCUCAGCUCUCCAUGGCAAAUUAGCCCAGCAGAGUCUAGUCGACUAUGAUAAGUCUCUGAUCCCGGCCAUACCUCCGACACCAAUGCAAUAAUUCGCCUGGUAGCGUGCUAGUUCGGG